UAAAACUAUAUUCAAAUAUAUGAUAUAUGAGUUGCAUUCAUAAGGUGUUUUAAGACUAGUUUUAA
This 65-nucleotide transfer RNA is filed under the name Latreillia valida. RNAcentral describes it as "tRNA-Ala". The record is from RNAcentral. Lineage: Eukaryota; Metazoa; Arthropoda; Malacostraca; Decapoda; Latreilliidae.